AUUGAACGCUGGCGGCAUGCCUUACACAUGCAAGUCGAACGGUAACAGGUCUUCGGAUGCUGACGAGUGGCGAACGGGUGAGUAAUACAUCGGAACGUGCCCGAUCGUGGGGGAUAACGGAGCGAAAGCUUUGCUAAUACCGCAUACGAUCUAUGGAUGAAAGCGGGGGAUCGCAAGACCUCGCGCGAUUGGAGCGGCCGAUAUCAGAUUAGGUAGUUGGUGGGGUAAAGGCCCACCAAGCCAACGAUCUGUAGCUGGUCUGAGAGGACGACCAGCCACACUGGAACUGAGACACGGUCCAGACUCCUACGGGAGGCAGCAGUGGGGAAUUUUGGACAAUGGGCGCAAGCCUGAUCCAGCAAUGCCGCGUGCAGGAUGAAGGCCUUCGGGUUGUAAACUGCUUUUGUACGGAACGAAAAGGCUCUGGUUAAUACCUGGGGCUCAUGACGGUACCGUAAGAAUAAGCACCGGCUAACUACGUG
RNAcentral lists this ribosomal RNA (482 nucleotides) under uncultured bacterium. RNAcentral describes it as "bacterial SSU rRNA". It matches the Rfam family "Bacterial small subunit ribosomal RNA", at positions 30 to 507 of the family's 1533-position model. The record is from RNAcentral.